This 1443-nucleotide ribosomal RNA is filed under the name uncultured archaeon. RNAcentral's name for it is "bacterial SSU rRNA". It matches the Rfam family "Archaeal small subunit ribosomal RNA". The record is from RNAcentral.
AGAACACCGCUAUUGGAGUUCGACUAAGCCAUGCAAGUCAGAGCUUCGGCUCGGCGGACGGCUCAGUAACACGUGGCUAACCUGCCCUGGGAUGGGGGAUAACCUCGGGAAACUGAGGAUAAUCCCCCAUAGGAAACGGGUAUUGGAAUAUCCCGUUUCUGAAAGCCUUCGGGUGUCCCAGGAUGGGGUUGCGGUGGAUUAGGUAGUUGGUGAGGUAAAGGCUCACCAAGCCAUUGAUCCAUACGGGCUGUGAGAGCAGUGGCCCGGAGAAGGGGACUGAGACAAGGCCCCUAGCCCUACGGGGUGCAGCAGGCGCGAAACCUUCGCAAUGUGAGAAAUCACGACGAGGGGACUCCAAGUUGCUGGUUUUACCAGUAUUUUCCAGAGUCCAAAACGCUCUGGGAAUAAGGGCUGGGCAAGACCCGUGCCAGCCGCCGCGGUAACACGGGCAGCCCUAGUGGCGUUCACUUAUAUUGGGCCUAAAGCGUUCGUAGCCGGUCUGAUAAGUCCUUGGUGAAAGCUUGCGACUCAAUCGUGAGGAAUGCCAAGGAUACUGUCGGACUUGGGGCCGGGAUGGGUCGGAGGUAUUCUCGGGGUAGGAGUGAAAUCCUGUAAUCCCGAGAGGACCAUCGGUGGCGAAUCGAUGCGAGGCGCUUCUUCAAGAGCCGGCUCACAUCGAGCUAAGGCGUCCGACUGGAACGGGCCCGACGGUGAGGAACGAAAGCUAGGGGAUCGACCCGGAUUAGAUACCCGGUUAGUCCUAGCUGUAAAUGAUGUUGGUUUGGUGUUGCAUGAUUCAUGUAAUCAUGCAGUGCCGUAGAGAAGUCGUUAAACCAACCGCCUGGGAAGUACGGCCGCAAGGCUGAAACUUAAAGGAAUUGGUGGGGGAGCACAACAAGGGGUGGAGGCUGCGGUUUAAUCGGAUGCAACGCCGCACAUCUCACCAGGGAAGACGGCAAGAUGAAGGUCAGUCUGAAGGGCUUACCAGAUGAGCCGAGAGGUGGUGCAUGGCCAUCGUCAGCUCGUGCUGUGAAGUGUCCUGUUAAGUCAGGCAACGAGCGAGAUCCACGCCCUUAGUUGCUAGUUCCUUUUUUCGAAAAGGAACGCACUCUAAGGGGACUGCCGGUGAUAAACUGGAGGAAGGAGUGGCCGACGGUAGGUCCGUAUGCCCCGAAUUUCCUGGGCUACACGCGGCCUACAAUGCCAUGGACAACGGGAUGCAACUCCGAAAGGAGAAGCCAAACCUCUAAACCAUGGCCCAGUUCGGAUUGAGGGUUGGGACUCACCCUCAUGAAGUUGGAAUCCCUAGUAAUCGCGGGUCACUAUCCCGCGGUGAAUGCGUCCCUUCUCCUUGCACACACCGCCCGUCAAACCACCCGAGUGGGGCCUAGACGAGGCGGGAUCGAUUCGGUCCCGUCGAAUCUGAGCUCUGUAAGGGGGGUU